Molecule: ribosomal RNA, 251 nt
Filed under: uncultured bacterium
Lineage: Bacteria
Description: partial 16S ribosomal RNA
Rfam family: Bacterial small subunit ribosomal RNA
Source: RNAcentral
UACGUAGGGAGCGAGCGUUAUCCGGAUUUAUUGGGUGUAAAGGGUGCGUAGACGGGUUAGCAAGUUAGUUGUGAAAUCCCUCGGCUUAACUGAGGAACUGCAACUAAAACUGCCAAUCUUGAGUGCAGGAGAGGUAAGUGGAAUUCCUAGUGUAGCGGUGAAAUGCGUAGAUAUUAGGAGGAACACCAGUGGCGAAGGCGACUUACUGGACUGUAACUGACGUUGAGGCACGAAAGUGUGGGGAGCAAACA